Long non-coding RNA from Panicum virgatum (switchgrass), 1104 nucleotides. RefSeq lists it as uncharacterized. The record is from RefSeq and is a predicted model, not a curated record. Lineage: Eukaryota; Viridiplantae; Streptophyta; Magnoliopsida; Poales; Poaceae. The transcript has 3 exons.
CCCCUCCAGCCCCCACCCCGGCCGCCGCCGCCGCGUCCACCCCAGCCCCCACCUCGGCCGUCGCGGCACCCCAGCCCCCACCCCGGCCGCCGCCGCGCGCCCACUCCGAGCAGUCAGCGGCUCAGCGCCGACGCAGGUGCCGCCCCCGCCCCCGCCGGCCGCCGGUCUCCUCGCCUCUCGACGCACGCCUGCGCCAUGGAGACGCUCUCGGCGUAGGCACUGCUCCAGCCGUGGGGCGUGACCGAGCCGCCGCCGCCGCCCCCGCUGCCGCCGGUCAUCACCACCUCGCCUCCGACGCUCGCCAUGGAGACGUACAAAUUUCGGGUAGUUCGGGGUAACCCGAACCCGAACCCGAAUUUUCGGGUACCCGAAAUGUCGGGUUUUCAUUAUUUCGGACAAAUUUCGGGUUACAGAUUUCAAAACCCGAAAUUCUCAAAACCCGAAAUACCCGACCCGAAUUUUUCGGGUUACCCGAAUGCCCACCCGUAGCCGACUUCAUCGACGUCAUUGACUACCUCGGUCACGCGCUUAAGAUCAGAAUCAGGUGUGCAGAUUUUGUUGACAAGCGGAAGGCUCCUGCAGAUGAAAAAGCGCACAAAGGUGGCCCAAAUCAAACGAGCAACGCUUCAAGGAUCAGGCCCAUGAACUAAUAGGACGGUGGAGGAGGCCUAAUAGGACGUUGGCUUUCCAAUGGUUAAAAGUUUUUUUUAGAAAGACACCAUAAAGCUGUCUCAUAAUAUCUGAUUCGUAUUAAAGAAACCAAUUAUAAUGAUUAAAUUAAGAGAUGGCAAUGGAUCUUCCUAAAAAAUAAAGAAAGAGAUGGCAAUGGAUACUGGACCGAAAUUUUUAUCUCAUUUGGUUCAACAUAGUGCAGGCUAGGCUUGAAAUCGGGGGCUCCCCAGUCACCUCACGUCACGGCUCACGGCUCCGGAAUCAGCAGGAGAGACGUCCACGUCACGCGGGAUCCUCUGCAUCAGCCGCCGCGAGUUUUAUAGAUAAAAUCCAGCCAACACUAUGCACAAUACUGAGUACUCCUACCAAUUACAGAGUGCAGGCUAUAUAAACUUGUAGUAAAUGGAUUACUGCUUCAAAAUGACGGGUCAC